CCUACGGGAGGCAGCAGUGGGGAAUUUUGGACAAUGGGCGAAAGCCUGAUCCAGCAAUGCCGCGUGAGUGAAGAAGGCCUUCGGGUUGUAAAGCUCUUUUGUCAGGGAAGAAACGGUGAGAGCUAAUAUCUCUUGCUAAUGACGGUACCUGAAGAAUAAGCACCGGCUAACUACGUGCCAGCAGCCGCGGUAAUACGUAGGGUGCAAGCGUUAAUCGGAAUUACUGGGCGUAAAGCGUGCGCAGGCGGUUUUGUAAGUCUGAUGUGAAAUCCCCGGGCUCAACCUGGGAAUUGCAUUGGAGACUGCAAGGCUAGAAUCUGGCAGAGGGGGGUAGAAUUCCACGUGUAGCAGUGAAAUGCGUAGAUAUGUGGAGGAACACCGAUGGCGAAGGCAGCCCCCUGGGUCAAGAUUGACGCUCAUGCACGAAAGCGUGGGGAGCAAACAGGAUUAGAUACCCUGGUAGUCCACGCCCUAAACGAUGUCUACUAGUUGUCGGGUCUUAAUUGACUUGGUAACGCAGCUAACGCGUGAAGUAGACCGCCUGGGGAGUACGGUCGCAAGAUUAAAACUACAAAUAAGAAGUAGUAGAGAGAGAGAGACGACGGACGACGACGACGGAGGAGGAG
RNAcentral lists this ribosomal RNA (626 nucleotides) under uncultured bacterium. Its description in RNAcentral is "bacterial SSU rRNA". It matches the Rfam family "Bacterial small subunit ribosomal RNA", at positions 338 to 956 of the family's 1533-position model. The record is from RNAcentral.